This 278-nucleotide long non-coding RNA is filed under the name Cyanistes caeruleus (blue tit). RNAcentral's name for it is "lncRNA (ENSCCEG00000018381.1)". The record is from RNAcentral. Lineage: Eukaryota; Metazoa; Chordata; Aves; Passeriformes; Paridae.
GGGUGAAGUGUCCUGAAAAGGGAAAGAAAGCAGAGGCUUAGGCACCAAAAUAGGACUUCCAAAUAUUUUUCCAUUUGCAGAGCAGCAGAACCUGGAAGGAAAAGCCCCAUCCCAACCUCUCCAAGGCCAGUGGGGUGAAGGAUCCACUCACUGUCCCAACUGAAGAAGGAGACGGAGGACAUUGUCCCCAUAUCCCAAAAAAAACCCAACAAAAGCUUUUCAGAGUGUUUCUCCCUGCUUGAAUAAGGUUCUCAAACAUCAAAUUUCACCUUUCCAUG